RNAcentral lists this ribosomal RNA (463 nucleotides) under Streptococcus sp. C100. RNAcentral describes it as "bacterial SSU rRNA". It matches the Rfam family "Bacterial small subunit ribosomal RNA", at positions 63 to 510 of the family's 1533-position model. The record is from RNAcentral. Lineage: Bacteria; Bacillati; Bacillota; Bacilli; Lactobacillales; Streptococcaceae.
AGAACGCUGAAGGAGGAGCUUGCUCUUCUGGAUGAGUUGCGAACGGGUGAGUAACGCGUAGGUAACCUGCCUGGUAGCGGGGGAUAACUAUUGGAAACGAUAGCUAAUACCGCAUAACAGUAGAUGUUGCAUGACAUUUGCUUAAAAGGUGCAAUUGCAUCACUACCAGAUGGACCUGCGUUGUAUUAGCUAGUUGGUGGGGUAACGGCUCACCAAGGCGACGAUACAUAGCCGACCUGAGAGGGUGAUCGGCCACACUGGGACUGAGACACGGCCCAGACUCCUACGGGAGGCAGCAGUAGGGAAUCUUCGGCAAUGGACGGAAGUCUGACCGAGCAACGCCGCGUGAGUGAAGAAGGUUUUCGGAUCGUAAAGCUCUGUUGUAAGAGAAGAACGAGUGUGAGAGUGGAAAGUUCACACUGUGACGGUAUCUUACCAGAAAGGGACGGCUAACUACGUGCCA